This 239-nucleotide non-coding RNA is filed under the name Solanum lycopersicum (tomato). RNAcentral describes it as "Eukaryotic small subunit ribosomal RNA". It matches the Rfam family "Eukaryotic small subunit ribosomal RNA", at positions 1597 to 1831 of the family's 1831-position model. Lineage: Eukaryota; Viridiplantae; Streptophyta; Magnoliopsida; Solanales; Solanaceae. The record is from Rfam by way of RNAcentral.
UUUUUAACGAGGAAUUCCUAAUAAGCGCGAGUCAUCAGCUAGCGUUGACUACGUCCCUGCCCUUUCUACACACCGCCCAUCGCUCCUACCGAUUGAAUGAUUUAGUGAAAUAUUCGGAUCGCGGCUACAUGGGCGGUUCGCUGCCCGCAAAGUCGUGAGAAGUCCAUUGAACCUUAUCAUUUAGAGGAAGGAGAAGUCGUAACAAGGUUUCCAUAGGUUAACCUGCGAAAGGAUCAUUA